CUUUACGCUACACAUUUAUGUCAUAUCUUAGGAACAAAGAAUGGAAUAUGAGGUUUCAGGAGCCUGGAUUCCAGGGUGAUGACUGAUCAAGGGCCCUCCCAUUGGGAAGAGAUUAGCAGGUCAGGGCAAUAUGGCACCUAAGAAGAGUCUUCAUGUAAAGUGUGGUGGAAUGGCAGGGAGAAUCUGUGCUCACGUUUGGUAUGAACAAGUAUACGAAAGUAGCAGCAUCUGAAAGGAAAGGGGUUGAAUGGAUUUAUAUGAACAUUACCUGGAAAUUGCCAGAGAUUCUUAAAG
Long non-coding RNA from Homo sapiens (human), 294 nucleotides. Ensembl annotates it as long intergenic non-protein coding RNA 3058. The record is from Ensembl. Lineage: Eukaryota; Metazoa; Chordata; Mammalia; Primates; Hominidae.